RNAcentral lists this ribosomal RNA (497 nucleotides) under uncultured bacterium. RNAcentral's name for it is "partial 16S ribosomal RNA". It matches the Rfam family "Bacterial small subunit ribosomal RNA", at positions 28 to 507 of the family's 1533-position model. The record is from RNAcentral.
GAUGAACGCUGGCGGCGUGCCUAAUACAUGCAAGUCGAGCGAACGGACGAGAAGCUUGCUUCUCUGAUGUUAGCGGCGGACGGGUGAGUAACACGUGGAUAACCUACCUAUAAGACUGGGAUAACUUCGGGAAACCGGCGCUAAUACCGGAUAAUCUUUUGCACCGCAUGGUUCAAAGGUGAAAGACGGUCUUGCUGUCACUUAUAGAUGGAUCCGCGCUGCAUUAGCUAGUUGGUAAGGUAACGGCUUACCAAGGCAACGAUGCAUAGCCGACCUGAUAGGGUGAUCGGCCACACUGGAACGGAGACACGGUCCAGACGCCUACGGGAGGCAGCAGUAGGGAAUCUUCCGCAAUGGGCGAAAGCAUGACGGAGCGACGCCGCGUGAGUGAUGAAGGUCUUCGGAUCGUAAAACUCUGUUAUUAGGGAAGAACAUAUGUGGAAGUAACUGUGCACAUCGUGACGGUACCUAAUCAGAAAGCCACGGCUAACUACGUG